This 320-nucleotide ribosomal RNA is filed under the name uncultured eukaryote. RNAcentral's name for it is "partial 18S ribosomal RNA". It matches the Rfam family "Eukaryotic small subunit ribosomal RNA", at positions 1470 to 1796 of the family's 1831-position model. The record is from RNAcentral.
CCCUUAGAUGUUCUGGGCCGCACGCGUGUUACAAUCGGGAGUACAACAAGAUUGCAAAUCCUAGUGGAUGAGUGGUUCUUCGAAAUUUUCUGAAGACUGGGAUAGUUGAUUGAAAUUAUUCAACUCGAACGAGGAAUUCCUUGUAAUUGUAAUUCAUUAUAUUGUAAUGAAUACGUCCCUGCCCUUUGUACACACCGCCCGUCGCUCCUACCGAUUGAACGAUCCGGUGAAUUAUUUGGAGUAGCUCUGGAAGUUGCAGAACUUCCUAUGUCACGAAAUUUUGUAAACCUUAUCGUUUAGAGGAAGGAAAAGUCGUAACA